RNAcentral lists this ribosomal RNA (253 nucleotides) under uncultured bacterium. RNAcentral's name for it is "partial 16S ribosomal RNA". It matches the Rfam family "Bacterial small subunit ribosomal RNA", at positions 524 to 776 of the family's 1533-position model. The record is from RNAcentral.
UACGGAGGGAGCUAGCGUUGUUCGGAAUCACUGGGCGUAAAGCGCACGUAGGCGGCUUUGCAAGUUAGAGGUGAAAGCCCGGGGCUCAACUCCGGAACUGCCUUUAAGACUGCAUCGCUUGAAUCCGGGAGAGGUGAGUGGAAUUCCGAGUGUAGAGGUGAAAUUCGUAGAUAUUCGGAAGAACACCAGUGGCGAAGGCGGCUCACUGGACCGGUAUUGACGCUGAGGUGCGGAAGCGUGGGGCGCUAACAGG